UCUUCCAUCUGUGGGUUUACUCCCCAGAUGGCUACAAUGGCCAGGGCUGGGCCAGGCUGAAGCCAGGAGCCAGGAGCCACUUCCAGGUCUCCCAUGUGGACGCAGGGGCCCAAGGACUUGGGCAUCUUCCACUGCUUUCCCCUGGCCAUUAGCAGGGAGCUGGAUAGAAAGUAGAGCAGCCAGGACUCCAACCAGCACCCAUAUGGGAAGGUGGCAUUGCAGGUGGCGGCUUAGCGGGCUGCACCAAAACGCAGGGCCCUGUACUCUCCCUUUCUAUGUGGUAACUUUGUAACUUGCCCAGGUAAGUGAAAAUACGAGGUGUGUCUGACUUACUUCACUUGACACAAUGUCCUCUGGUUUCAUCUGUGGCUGCAAAUGAUGUAAUUUCAGUCUUUGAUGGCCAAGUGACGUCCAUUGCUAAACACACCACUUUCUUCUCUGAGACUCGUCUCACUGGUGUCCAGUGCCUACUCAAUCUGCCUUCCUGAGGUCCUACUCGCCCAGAAACUUCUUUUCUCACGGCCCUUGCCGUGGCCGCUAACGCGGGGCGUGGUCCCACCCGGCCGGCAGCACCAGCAGACCACGUGUUUGUGAUACCUCACAGGCUGCGUUUCACUGGGGCCCUGAUGCCCUUCAUUUAGGAAUCACACUUCACGGGAUUAUGGCGAGGAGCUAAUAAGCCGAGAGCCCCUUGUGGACUAUACAAUGCUGGAUAAACGUCCAUUAAAUCUGGGUUAUGUUAUUCCUGUGUCUCCUGAAUAUUUUGUUCCUCCUUUCGAGGGCUUGAGUUAUCUUGUAUACUUCAUGUCAUGUAUUCCUGCCACAUCCUGAGAAGGUCACGAGCUAAUUCUUGGUUUAAUAAACUUUUACCUUCUGACUGUCCAUUAGCUAUCUCUCCCUUUAGAAGUUGUGCAAAGUGACAGCAGGGUUGACUUUGAGGCCUUCUAGGGUUUUCUGCUUAAAUUCUUUCCAAGGGAACCCAAUAUGAAAAGUACAAAGGAGGAGGAGAUGGCUUUUCAUGGCAUCUCGCUCUCUCCCUCGCUCUCUCCCUCUCUCUUUGCAGGUGGCAACACACUUUGACAAGGGAUUUGAAGACAUAAAAAUAAAUCUGAUAAUGAAAACAGUGGGCUGGAAUCUGUUCUCUGAGUAAUAUAUUCUUUAGGGCUAGCCAGGCCCCCAGAAUUCUAAAGUAGUAUCUGGACGAAGGGGUUACCUAGUAAUCUCUGUAAAUCCGUGUGCCUAGUGUUCCAUGGAAUUGUAGUGCUGGAAUUUACGCGAAAUCAUCCCCUAGGCAGUACCUGUUACUGGGGAGAAUCCGUGUGCCAGCUCUGCGGGGCGUUGUGUUUAUUUGUACCGGUAACCACAGCAUUUGCUGUAUUGUAUCCUAACCCCCUAACCCGGGCACUGAUUUCAUUUCCCAUGAGAACCUUGGUGCCUUUCUUCGUCCCCAUCCUCCACGAGGCUUUGGCUUUCCUGAGAACAGACCCUAAACCCUAACCCUAACCCUAACCCUAACCUCCCUCACAGCUUCGUCUGCAGUGCUCAGCGCAGUGGGUGGCAGGGCUCAGGCCCACAGAUAGUUGUCAAGUAGCUGAAUGCAUCCAUGGUCUUAGGAAGAGUAAAAAGAGAAUCCCAAUGACCCUGACCCCGGGGGCGUGUGUUGGGUCUGGACAUCUUAGAACUUGAGGUUCCGCCUCUUGUUCAGAUUGUGUGCUUUUUGGAUUGGUAGGAAUUUCGGUAUUGGGGAUCUCAUAUCUUGGCAGUGUGGAUGGUGUUAAAGGCAUUGGAAACACAUAUCAAUAUGGGAACUCUCCCAACUGAAGUUACCUGCAGCAGGAUUUAGGUGGGGGAGGGUCUCACCGAAUCUCCAGACGAAUUUUUCCACGGGGACCCUGUGAGGUGCGGGCAUGCAGGAGUGGGAGGUGAUGAGUUGGAGUUGAGGAAUGGAAAGAAGAGCUCUGGGAGAGAAAUCCUUAACUUCCACCGGAUGUGAAAGAGGAGAAAAAUGAUAAAGUUUUAACCACGAAGGCGGAGAUCAGGGUUACAGAAGAGUAAUGUAACUGGUAAUGCAUAUUCACAUUUCUCUGUCUUCAGCAACAACAAACAGGUGACAGCGAGCCAUCAUAAACGUUUUUCAUGAUUUUGAGAAAAUAACGGGUUGGCUUAGAGAAACGCUAAAUGGUAGAACUGGAAGGAAAAUCAGAGACCAACUAACUCAGCUUCUUAAUUUUACUGAUGAUGAAAUCAAGGCUUUCCCAAAGGGUUUUAGUGAUCUUAUGUUGCUUCCCAUAUUUAUUUUGGGAAUCGUGUGGAAUGCUCUGUGCUGUAUUGAGAUGGGUCAAACUGCAUAGGAGGUCAAGCACAACUCGUGGUGCCAAUCAACAGAGUGAACCAGACUGUGGCAAUGUGAAAGCUGAGUAAGCAGUCAUUUAACUUCCUUCCUCCAAAUCGUAAGCACCUCCUAGGCUGCUUUUCCACAGGGAUUUAGAGAACCUCUCCUACAAACCUUACACACCGCAGUAUGGCGGGCGCUUGCAAAUGCGGAGCUAAUUAGUGUUUUUCUUGGCAAUCGCCUAAUGUGUGUCGUCAUCUUAAAUCUAUAUCAAGACAGUUUGAUUCCCAAUGUAAACAGCAUUUUAGGGAAAGGUGUUCUUUGAAGUAUCCUAAACGUUACCUGUUUCCACAAGGCAGGGUUUUCGAUGCUGACCCCGAGACGGUAGCACAUCCCUGUCUCUGGUAGACCGGUUAGAUCAGCACAAGUAUGCCUGCCCGAGUUGUCCUCAAUUCACAGAAAGUUGUGAAAAGCUUGCAUUUCAUGGCUGCUCCGAGCCCUCAUGAGCGAUGCAGCGUCUCUGACAGCCACGGAACUUUAGCCCACAUCCUGUGGGAUUCUGGGGGUUUCUGUGGUCCAGUGUGUUCAUUCUGAACACGGGUAGGCUUCUUAGGCUUUCGGUGCUGUCCAUCCGGAUUAAGAAUGUAAAUUGAUGCUAACUGCAUGACUGACAUCUAGUGGAUGAACGCCAGUGUCGCUCCUUACCGUUGGGGUUCCUCCUGGGCAGGCUUGCUCCCUGGGUCCUCAGAACGUCACACGAGAAGCCUUUGUCUAAAACACAGAGCCGUGUCCCCAGAUACUAGGAAAAUGACGAGGUUGGCAACCUUCUGACAUGGACGAAUAUUCACUUUAUGGAGACUUGAAAGAAUGAAUAGUAGCACUGAGUUGGGAAAAAUGAUCUGAUAUCAAAUGUACAUUUCUUUAGUUUGUGGCAAAGGAUUGAAAUAUAUUGCUAUGGUAGUAGAAGCGUGUGCAACAUACACAUACCCACGUAGGAUUGGAAUCCUUUUAAUUUCUUAUUUGUGAUUUUUUUUUCUUUUAAAUUUAGCUUACUGCUUUAGAAAAACACUAAGGAGGGCCUGUUCUACUUACCCUGAUACGAAAUCUCACCUGUGACCGUGGUGAAAGGGUAGGAACUGGGGUACUGUUCUAAACUGAGAUAUUGAUUAAUCAACAUUUGGAAUGAACUCCAAGUGAUCUGUAUGCUUCUUUUGCCUACUAGAAAAUUUUAUUUACUACAAAGUUCCCAAAAGAGGAUCAUGCCUAUAAGAACUCUCCAAAUUGGAAAGCUGUGACUUUUUGUGGUGUGCUUUCUUUACACACUAUACUCUACCUAGAGCUGCCACCAUCUCUCGGUCUUGGCUCUGUUUAAAAAAAAAAAAAAAAAAGAACGGCUUCUCCCAGUCCUUUGUUACAGAUUUCCCAGGCGUCUCUGGGUUGGAUUCAGCUAAUCCUUUCGUUGGAAUUGUUUUUCUCUACUCUUGAUACUUGAAGGACAUCUUGGUAGAUGUAAAAUCCUUGGCUUGGGGAGGGUGUGAAGCCUGCUGAGUAAAAUGCCCACCCCACACUGGAGUGCCUGGGUUCCAUUCUGGCUCUGGCUGCUCCCGCGCGUUUCCUGUUAGUGCAGCCUCUGAGAGGCAGCAGCGAUGGCUGGGUCCCUGUCACUCCUAUAGGAGUUCUGGAUUAUGUUUCCUGCUCCUGGUUUUGGCCUUGCCCAGCCCUGACAACUGUGGGUAUUUUUGGGGGUGAAAUGGCAGAUGGGGGGCUGGCACUGUGGUGUAACGGGUUAAAGCCCUGGCCUGGGGUGCUGGCAUCCCAUAUGGGCGCCGGUUCUAGUCUCGGCUGCUCCUCUUCCAAUCCAGCUCUCUGCUAUGGCCUGGGAAAGCAGUAGAAGAUGGCCCACGUCCUUGGGCCCCUGCACCCGCGUGGGAGACCUGGAGGAAGCUCCUGGCUCCUGGCUUUGGAUUGGAGCAGCUCUGGCCAUUGCAGCUGUCUGGGGAGUGAACCAUCGGAUGGAGGACUUCUCUCUCUGGCUCUACCUCUCUCUGUAACUCUGUCAAAUGAAUAUAAUGAAUUAAAAAAAAAAAAAAGAAAUGGCAAAUGGGAAUUUUUUCAGUUUAUAGCUCUCAAAUAAAUUUAAACAAAUUAAAUUACAAUCCUUGGUUUGCACUUUCCUUACAUUUCUCGGCCACGCUGCUCUGCUCUUGCCUUGCUUUGUCUGUUGCUUCGGAAAAUUCUUUUCCUUUUAAAAGAUUUUUUUUUUUUUUUGCCUGAGACUUUCACAAGUUUUUUUAAAGUUUAAUUGUUCUACGAAAGUAUGUCCCAAAGUCGAUGGUUUUGGUUCUUAUUCUGUGUACUUGGUGCACCUUUCUGGGGUGGUAAUUCAUGCUUUUCUUAUUCUUGGAAAUUUCUUUUUGUUAAUUUUCUUUUCCCUCCCUCCUUUUCCUUUUCCUUCCUCUGGGCUUCAGUAAUGUAAAAGUUGGAAUUUUUCUGAUCAGAUUUACUUUUCAGCAACUUUGUCUCUGAACUUUUAAAAUUUCCCUCUUUUAAAAAAAACUUUAUUCUUUUGGGUGCUUCUUUUUUUUUUUUUUUUUUUUUUUUAGCAGUAUUUGCUAGUUUUUAAGUUUGAAUUUGUUCUCACCUGAGUGUGCUGUUAUUUAAUCUGUAUUUCUGCUAUUAUUUUCUUCCUUCUUUAACUCGAUCUACCCAAUUGCAUUCUCAUUCUUUUAUUUAUUUUUAGAAUUUAUGAUUUAAAAAUGUCUUCCCUCUCCCUAAAGUCUUCCAUGAAGCUGCUUAAUUCAGUGGGGAUGGUUGUACUAACAUUUCUUCUGCAUCAGGACUGUAUUUGGGGUAGAAUUUUUCAUCAGUGGGUUGUUUGGGGUCAUAUUUUCUGUAUUAGGAAGUUGUAUGUGGAUAUGUUUUGAUUUUUUUCCCACGCAUUUUAUGGACAGGGUCCUAGAACAAGGCGCUCUCUGCGUCAGUUCAGUAAAAUGCAGUGCAUUUAAUGUGCGAUGUUGGUGAUGAGAGAGGUGGAAAUGUCCCGUCUGCCCUUCGCUCCCUUAUCUCCAAGGGGCACCGCCCUUCUGCUGUCAGUCUGACUUCCCUGCCUUUUCCACUGUGCAUCUGACUUCAACACCACUGCUCCUCCCCUUGAUCACCUUAGAGACCCUUGACAAAGUCGGUGCUGUGAAUGACCAAGUCCAAGACCUGCGUCCGGCUUUUUGACACACGGCAUUAGAUGGUUUCUUCCCAGGAGGGUUUUGUGUUGGAUUCUGGUUUUAUCUUCUUUUACCCACUCUUCACAAACAACAGCUUGCGGCAGUGACUGAAAUUCAUGAUGUUCUUUGUCUCCUUUUGUGUGAUUUUAUUUGUGCUUGCUGGUGCUUCAGUAGUUUGCAGAAUAACGUGCAUGUAGGCCUGGAUUCAAGUGACUGUCAUUUUCCUAACGACCUGAAAACUCCCAGAGAGCUUUUUGUUAUUGAUUUCCAAUUUUAUUCCCUUUAAGUCAGAAAACAUAUGGUUUAUGAUGACAAUCUUUUCACUUUUUUAUUUUUUGUUCCACCUUAUGAUUUAUAUAGGCAUAUAUUCCAUGAGCUGUUGAAAAGAAUAUGCAUUCUGCCAGUCAGGUGUAACGUUCUAUUAACAUUUGUCAACUGGAUUCAAUUGUUUGAAUUGAUAUCUUUUAUAAUAUUUUAUAUAUUUUUAGUUUUCUUGUCAAUUGCAGAGAAAUGAGAGAGACCAUCUCCAAGUAUAAUGGUGUAUUUGUCUAUUUACUUGAAAUGCAGAGUCACAGAGAGGGGGAGACGGAGAAAUCCUCUCUCUGUCUGCUGGUUCACUCCCUGGAUGGGCCCCAACAGCCAGGGCUGGGCUUGGCUGAAGCUGGGAACCAGGAGAUUCAGAUGGCUGUACCACAUGGGCGACAGCGGCGCAAGCUCUCUAUUAUUAGGAAAUACAUUUUUUUUUUUUACCCAUGGCAAUAUUUCUUGUCUUGAAGUCAUUGACAUUAAUAUAGCUACCCCAGCUUUCCUCUAAUUAAUGGAGUGGAUAUCCUAUAUUUCCUAUUAAUAUAUCCUAUAAUUAAUGGUGUGAUAUCAUCUUUCCUUUAUACUUCCAAUGAUUUUGUAUUUAACCAUUUUGUACUUUAUUCCUUACCAUUUUGUCUAUUUUCUGGCUUAAAUAAUUUUGUGUUUACACUUGGGUCCUGUGAAUAACAUUGCUGAGUUGAAGAAACCUACUGGUAUUUGAAAGGUGCAGAGACACAGAGAGUGACAGAGAGCUCCCGUCUGCUGGGGUGCAGACCCAGCAUUGAGCCAUCACCUGUUUCCUCCCAAGACACCCACUAAAACAAGCAGAUUUGUUGCCUUACAUGAGCUAGCAUUUCUAUGUCAACGUUUCCUGGCGACGAGAUGUUUGCUACCUUGAGUGAAUUGAAUGCUUCUGCAUCUAGGAUUUAAUUUGAUGAGGGCAGUUGUUAUCAAAACAGCAUGGUACUGGUACAGAAACAGAUGGAUAGACCAAUGGAACAGAAUAGAAACACCAGAAAUCAAUCCAAACAUCUACAGCCAACUUAUAUUUGACCAAGGAUCUAAAACCAAUUCCUGGAGCAAGGACAGUCUAUUCAAUAAAUGGUGCUGGGAAAACUGGAUUUCCACGUGCAGAACCAUGAAGCAAGACCCCUACCUUUCUCCUUACACAAAAAUUCACUCAACAUGGAUUAAAGACUUAAAUCUACGACCCGACACCAUCAAAUUAUUAGAGCAUUGGAGAAACUCUGCAAGAUAUAGGUACCGGCAAAGACUUCUUAGAAAAGACCCCAGAAGUACAGGCAGUCAAAGCCAAAAUUAACAUUUGGGAUUGCAUCAAAUUGAGAAGUUUCUCUACUUCAAAAGAAACAGGAAAGUGAAGAGGCAACCAACAGAAUGGGAAAAAAUAUUUGCAAACUACGCAACAGAUAAAGGGUUGAUAACCAGAAUCUACAAUGAGAUCAAGAAACUCCACAACAUCAAAACAAACCACCCACUAAAGAGAUGGGCCAAGGACCUCAAUAGACAUUUUUCAAAAAAGGAAAUCCAAAUGGCCAACAGGCACAUGAAAAAAUGUUCAAGAUCACUAGCAAUCAGGGAAAUGCAAAUCAAAACCUCAAUGAGGUUUCACCUCACCCCAGUUAGAAUGGCUCACAUUCAGAAAUCUACCAACAACACAUGCUGGAGAGGAUGUAGGGAAAAAGGGACACUAACCCACUGUUGGUGGGAAUGCAAACUGGUUAAGCCGCUAUGGAAUUCAGUCUGGAGAUUCCUCAGAAACCUGAAUAUAACCCUACCAUACAAUCCAGCCAUCCCACUCCUUGGAAUUUACCCAAAGGAAAUGAAAUUGGCAAACAAACAAGCUGUCUGCACCUCAAUGUUUAUUGCAGCUCAAUUCACAAUAGCUAAGACCUGGAACCAACCCAAAUGCCCAUCAACAGUAGACUAGAAAAAGGAAUUAUAGGACAUGUACUCUAUAGAAUACUAUACAGCAGUCAAAAACAAUGAAAUCUGGUCAUUUGUAACAAGAUGGAAGAAUCUGGAAAACAUUAUGCUGAGUGAAUUAAGCCAGUCCCAAAGGGACAAAUAUCAUAUGUUCUCCCUGAUCGGCGACAACUAACUGAGCACCAAAGGGGAAACCUGUUGAAGUGAAAUGGACACUAUGAGAAACAGUGACUUGAUCAGCUCUUGUCCUGUUGAUGUACAAUGUAAUACUUUAUCCAUUUUGGUAUUUUCUCUUUGUUUUGUUCUAGUACUAUUGGUUGAACUCUGUAAUUAACACACAAUUAUUCUCAGGUGUUU
This is a non-coding RNA of Oryctolagus cuniculus (rabbit), 8157 nucleotides long. NCBI's taxonomy places the organism in Eukaryota, Metazoa, Chordata, Mammalia, Lagomorpha, Leporidae. The record is from RefSeq and is a predicted model, not a curated record.